This 370-nucleotide long non-coding RNA is filed under the name Rattus norvegicus (Norway rat). Its description in RNAcentral is "long non-coding RNA NONRATT014194". The record is from RNAcentral. Lineage: Eukaryota; Metazoa; Chordata; Mammalia; Rodentia; Muridae.
GAGCAUCGAGCAAGGUGGCCUGCUAAGACCAGAGCGUGACCACGUUGAGUUUCAGCAUCCGAGCUUCGUGCGAGGCUGUACCUGCGCUGCGAGGUGAUGACACUCGAUGGCGUCCUGAAGACCUGGGCCGACUGCUGGGAGAGGUGCAAGCUUUGAGGGGAGUGCAGGAGAGCACGGAGGCACGGCUGCAGGAACUCAGGCAGCAGAACGAGAUCUUGUGGCGAGAGGUGGUGACGCUGCGGCAGAGCCACAGUCAGCAGCACCGGGUCAUCGGCAAGCUAAUCCAGUGCCUGUUUGGGCCACUUCAGACAGGGCCCAGCAGUACAGGAGCCAAGAGAAAGCUGUCCCUAAUGCUAGAUGAGGGGAGUGC